This 68-nucleotide transfer RNA is filed under the name Neotoma lepida (desert woodrat). It matches the Rfam family "tRNA". Rfam says of the family: Transfer RNA (tRNA) molecules are approximately 80 nucleotides in length. Their secondary structure includes four short double-helical elements and three loops (D, anti-codon, and T loops). Further hydrogen bonds mediate the characteristic L-shaped molecular structure. tRNAs have two regions of fundamental functional importance: the anti-codon, which is responsible for specific mRNA codon recognition, and the 3' end, to which the tRNAs corresponding amino acid is attached (by aminoacyl-tRNA synthetases). tRNAs cope with the degeneracy of the genetic code in two manners: having more than one tRNA (with a specific anti-codon) for a particular amino acid; and 'wobble' base-pairing, i.e. permitting non-standard base-pairing at the 3rd anti-codon position. Lineage: Eukaryota; Metazoa; Chordata; Mammalia; Rodentia; Cricetidae. The record is from Rfam by way of RNAcentral.
GGGGAUGUAGCUCAGUUGGCAGAGUGCUUGCCUAANGUGUAUGAGGCUCUGGAUUCAUUCCAUCCCCA